CCUACGGGUGGCAGCAGUGGGGAAUCUUGCGCAAUGGGCGAAAGCCUGACGCAGCGACGCCGUGUGCGGGAAGAAGGCCUUCGGGUUGUAAACCGCUUUCAGGAGGGAAGAAGCCACUCGGGUUAAUAGCCUAGAGGGUGACGGUACCUCCAGAAGAAGCCCCGGCUAACUACGUGCCAGCAGCCGCGGUAAUACGUAGGGGGCUAGCGUUGUCCGGAAUUAUUGGGCGUAAAGAGCGUGUAGGCGGCCGAGUAAGUCCGGUGUGAAAACUCGAGGCUCAACUUCGAGAUGUCAUCGGAAACUAUUCGGCUAGAGUCCGGAAGAGGAGAGUGGAAUUCCUGGUGUAGCGGUGAAAUGCGCAGAUAUCAGGAAGAACACCUAUGGCGAAAGCAGCUCUCUGGGACGGUACUGACGCUGAGACGCGAAAGCGUGGGGAGCGA
RNAcentral lists this ribosomal RNA (440 nucleotides) under uncultured bacterium. RNAcentral describes it as "bacterial SSU rRNA". It matches the Rfam family "Bacterial small subunit ribosomal RNA", at positions 338 to 771 of the family's 1533-position model. The record is from RNAcentral.